RNAcentral lists this ribosomal RNA (578 nucleotides) under uncultured bacterium. Its description in RNAcentral is "partial 16S ribosomal RNA". It matches the Rfam family "Bacterial small subunit ribosomal RNA", at positions 355 to 932 of the family's 1533-position model. The record is from RNAcentral.
UGGGGAAUUUUGGACAAUGGGCGAAAGCCUGAUCCAGCAAUGCCGCGUGUGUGAAGAAGGCCUUCGGGUUGUAAAGCACUUUUGUCCGGAAAGAAAUCCUUGGCUCUAAUACAGUCGGGGGAUGACGGUACCGGAAGAAUAAGCACCGGCUAACUACGUGCCAGCAGCCGCGGUAAUACGUAGGGUGCAAGCGUUAAUCGGAAUUACUGGGCGUAAAGCGUGCGCAGGCGGUUUGCUAAGACCGAUGUGAAAUCCCCGGGCUCAACCUGGGAACUGCAUUGGUGACUGGCAGGCUAGAGUAUGGCAGAGGGGGGUAGAAUUCCACGUGUAGCAGUGAAAUGCGUAGAGAUGUGGAGGAAUACCGAUGGCGAAGGCAGCCCCUGGGCCAAUACUGACGCUCAUGCACGAAAGCGUGGGGAGCAAACAGGAUUAGAUACCCUGGUAGUCCACGCCCUAAACGAUGUCAACUAGUUGUUGGGGAUUCAUUUCCUUAGUAACGUAGCUAACGCGUGAAGUUGACCGCCUGGGGAGUACGGUCGCAAGAUUAAAACUCAAAGGAAUUGACGGGGUCAUAGCUG